This is a non-coding RNA of Lolium perenne, 172 nucleotides long. Lineage: Eukaryota; Viridiplantae; Streptophyta; Magnoliopsida; Poales; Poaceae. The record is from RefSeq and is a predicted model, not a curated record.
AGCGGACAUGUAUAUAUGCUACUGUUUCUAUGUUCAUCUGUUAAGAGUGUAGAUUUGAACAUUAGGUUCCCUGGGCUGCUUAGCCUUACUAUUUGUUAGGGAUUAUAUCUUGUGUACUCUGCUAUAUCAGUGGUACCAAAAGGUUUCUACCUUGCAUUAAUUGAUGUAGAAG